Molecule: ribosomal RNA, 812 nt
Filed under: uncultured bacterium
Lineage: Bacteria
Description: bacterial SSU rRNA
Rfam family: Bacterial small subunit ribosomal RNA
Source: RNAcentral
GGGGGCUUGCUCCCGGGUUAGUGGCGAACGGGUGAGUAAUAUAUCGGAACAUAUCCGGAAGUGGGGGAUAACGUAGCGAAAGUUACGCUAAUACCGCAUAUGCCCUGAGGGGGAAAGGGGGGGAUCGCAAGACCUCUCGCUUUCGGAGUGGCCGAUACCGGAUUAGCUAGAUGGUGAGGUAAAGGCUCACCAUGGCGACGAUCCGUAGCUGGUCUGAGAGGACGACCAGCCACACUGGAACUGAGACACGGUCCAGACUCCUACGGGAGGCAGCAGUGGGGAAUUUUGGAUAAUGGGCGAAAGCCUGAUCCAGCCAUACCGCGUGAGUGAAGAAGGCCUUCGGGUUGUAAAGCUCUUUCAGCCGGAAAGAAAUCGCACUUUUUAAUACGGAGUGUGGAUGACGGUACCGGAAGAAGAAGCACCGGCUAACUACGUGCCAGCAGCCGCGGUAAUACGUAGGGUGCGAGCGUUAAUCGGAAUUACUGGGCGUAAAGCGUGCGCAGGCGGUUUGAUAAGCCAGAUGUGAAAUCCCCGGGCUUAACCUGGGAACUGCAUUUGGAACUGUCAGACUAGAGUGUAGCAGAGGGGGGUAGAAUUCCACGUGUAGCAGUGAAAUGCGUAGAUAUGUGGAGGAAUACCAAUGGCGAAGGCAGCCCCCUGGGUUUAACACUGACGCUCAUGCACGAAAGCGUGGGGAGCAAACAGGAUUAGAUACCCUGGUAGUCCACGCCCUAAACGAUGUCAACUAGUUGUUGGGGGAGGAGACUUUCCUUAUUAACGCAGCUAACGCGUGAAGUUGACCGCCUGGGGAG